UACGUAGGGUGCAAGCGUUGUCCGGAAUUAUUGGGCGUAAAGAGCUCGUAGGCGGUCUGUCGCGUCGGCUGUGAAAACCCGGAGCUCAACUCCGGGCCUGCAGUCGAUACGGGCAGACUGGAGUUCGGCAGGGGAGACUGGAAUUCCUGGUGUAGCGGUGAAAUGCGCAGAUAUCAGGAGGAACACCGGUGGCGAAGGCGGGUCUCUGGACCAUAACUGACGCUGAUGCACGAAAGCUGGGGGAGCAAACAGG
Molecule: ribosomal RNA, 253 nt
Filed under: uncultured bacterium
Lineage: Bacteria
Description: partial 16S ribosomal RNA
Rfam family: Bacterial small subunit ribosomal RNA
Source: RNAcentral